Molecule: ribosomal RNA, 433 nt
Filed under: uncultured bacterium
Lineage: Bacteria
Description: partial 16S ribosomal RNA
Rfam family: Bacterial small subunit ribosomal RNA
Source: RNAcentral
AACGAACGCUGGCGGCAUGCCUAACACAUGCAAGUCGAACGAGACCUUCGGGUCUAGUGGCGCAAGGGUGCGUAACGCGUGGGAACCUGCCCUUAGGUUCGGAAUAACUCCCCGAAAGGGGUGCUAAUACCGGAUAAUGUCUUCGGACCAAAGAUUUAUCGCCUUUGGAUGGGCCCGCGUUGGAUUAGCUAGUUGGUAGGGUAAAAGCCUACCAAGGCGACGAUCCAUAGCUGGUCUGAGAGGAUGAUCAGCCACACUGGGACUGAGACACGGCCCAGACUCCUACGGGAGGCAGCAGUGGGGAAUAUUGGACAAUGGGCGAAAGCCUGAUCCAGCAAUGCCGCGUGAGUGAUGAAGGCCUUAGGGUUGUAAAGCUCUUUUACCCGGGAUGAUAAUGACAGUACCGUGAGAAUAAGCUCCGGCUAACUCCGUG